This 1550-nucleotide ribosomal RNA is filed under the name Klebsiella quasipneumoniae. Its description in RNAcentral is "bacterial SSU rRNA". It matches the Rfam family "Bacterial small subunit ribosomal RNA". The record is from RNAcentral. Lineage: Bacteria; Pseudomonadati; Pseudomonadota; Gammaproteobacteria; Enterobacterales; Enterobacteriaceae.
AAAUUGAAGAGUUUGAUCAUGGCUCAGAUUGAACGCUGGCGGCAGGCCUAACACAUGCAAGUCGAGCGGUAGCACAGAGAGCUUGCUCUCGGGUGACGAGCGGCGGACGGGUGAGUAAUGUCUGGGAAACUGCCUGAUGGAGGGGGAUAACUACUGGAAACGGUAGCUAAUACCGCAUAACGUCGCAAGACCAAAGUGGGGGACCUUCGGGCCUCAUGCCAUCAGAUGUGCCCAGAUGGGAUUAGCUAGUAGGUGGGGUAACGGCUCACCUAGGCGACGAUCCCUAGCUGGUCUGAGAGGAUGACCAGCCACACUGGAACUGAGACACGGUCCAGACUCCUACGGGAGGCAGCAGUGGGGAAUAUUGCACAAUGGGCGCAAGCCUGAUGCAGCCAUGCCGCGUGUGUGAAGAAGGCCUUCGGGUUGUAAAGCACUUUCAGCGGGGAGGAAGGCGAUAAGGUUAAUAACCUUGUUGAUUGACGUUACCCGCAGAAGAAGCACCGGCUAACUCCGUGCCAGCAGCCGCGGUAAUACGGAGGGUGCAAGCGUUAAUCGGAAUUACUGGGCGUAAAGCGCACGCAGGCGGUCUGUCAAGUCGGAUGUGAAAUCCCCGGGCUCAACCUGGGAACUGCAUUCGAAACUGGCAGGCUAGAGUCUUGUAGAGGGGGGUAGAAUUCCAGGUGUAGCGGUGAAAUGCGUAGAGAUCUGGAGGAAUACCGGUGGCGAAGGCGGCCCCCUGGACAAAGACUGACGCUCAGGUGCGAAAGCGUGGGGAGCAAACAGGAUUAGAUACCCUGGUAGUCCACGCCGUAAACGAUGUCGAUUUGGAGGUUGUGCCCUUGAGGCGUGGCUUCCGGAGCUAACGCGUUAAAUCGACCGCCUGGGGAGUACGGCCGCAAGGUUAAAACUCAAAUGAAUUGACGGGGGCCCGCACAAGCGGUGGAGCAUGUGGUUUAAUUCGAUGCAACGCGAAGAACCUUACCUGGUCUUGACAUCCACAGAACUUAGCAGAGAUGCUUUGGUGCCUUCGGGAACUGUGAGACAGGUGCUGCAUGGCUGUCGUCAGCUCGUGUUGUGAAAUGUUGGGUUAAGUCCCGCAACGAGCGCAACCCUUAUCCUUUGUUGCCAGCGGUCCGGCCGGGAACUCAAAGGAGACUGCCAGUGAUAAACUGGAGGAAGGUGGGGAUGACGUCAAGUCAUCAUGGCCCUUACGACCAGGGCUACACACGUGCUACAAUGGCAUAUACAAAGAGAAGCGACCUCGCGAGAGCAAGCGGACCUCAUAAAGUAUGUCGUAGUCCGGAUUGGAGUCUGCAACUCGACUCCAUGAAGUCGGAAUCGCUAGUAAUCGUAGAUCAGAAUGCUACGGUGAAUACGUUCCCGGGCCUUGUACACACCGCCCGUCACACCAUGGGAGUGGGUUGCAAAAGAAGUAGGUAGCUUAACCUUCGGGAGGGCGCUUACCACUUUGUGAUUCAUGACUGGGGUGAAGUCGUAACAAGGUAACCGUAGGGGAACCUGCGGUUGGAUCACCUCCUUACCUUAAAGAA